RNAcentral lists this ribosomal RNA (407 nucleotides) under uncultured bacterium. Its description in RNAcentral is "partial 16S ribosomal RNA". It matches the Rfam family "Bacterial small subunit ribosomal RNA", at positions 30 to 526 of the family's 1533-position model. The record is from RNAcentral.
AUUGAACGCUGGCGGCAGGCCUAACACAUGCAAGUCGAGCGGAGCGGCGGACGGGUGAGUAAUGCCUAGGAAUCUGCCUGGUAGUGGGGGAUAACGUCCGGAAACGGGCGCUAAUCCCGCAUACUAUCGGCUUAGCCUAGGUCGGAUUCGCUAGUUGGUGGGGUAAAGGCGUACCAAGGCGACGAUCAGUAACUGGUCUGAGAGGAUGAUCAGUCACACUGGAACGGAGACACGGUCCAGACUCCUACGGGAGGAAGCAGAGGGGAAUAUUGGACAAUGGGCGAAAUCCUGAUCCAGCCAUGCCGCGUGUGUGAAGAAGGUCUUCGGAGGGUAAAGCACGUUAAGUUGGGAGGCGUUACCAACAGAAUAAGCAACGGCUAACUUCGUGCCAGCAGCCGCGGUAAUAC